This is a long non-coding RNA of Lathyrus oleraceus (garden pea), 1345 nucleotides long. RefSeq lists it as uncharacterized. NCBI's taxonomy places the organism in Eukaryota, Viridiplantae, Streptophyta, Magnoliopsida, Fabales, Fabaceae. The record is from RefSeq and is a predicted model, not a curated record. The transcript is spliced from 2 exons.
GUGUUUUCCUAUUGGUUAAAAUUGAUGAGUUUGAGAUAGAAUAUGACACAUCUCCUCUUAUAUUAGAUCCCUCUCUAAAAUAACAGAUCCUCUGCCCUAUCUCUAAAAAACCGAUACUCUUCUUCUUUCUCCCUCACAUCAAAACUUUUCCAGCCACCAUGUAGCUUCUGGAACUGGUGGUGCGAAACUCCUUUUCCACCUCUAAUCUCUUUUGAGGUUGACACCCACUCCACCCUUCACCCUCUCUGGGUUGCAUCAGAUUUGAUUUCUUCUUCUCUAGUUUGGUUCUGGCGACGGUCGCUCCAGGAGGAUCGUCAAUCGACUGCUUUAGAUCCGAAGUCGUGAUCUUUUCCCAUCCUUUGGUUGGUUUAUUCUUGUUGACUGUUUUAUGCUGUAACUCGGUUGCAGUGCUCUCCUAGGUGGCACUUUCGACGUUUGUGGAAGCUCAUUCUCUAAUGGGUUUACUGCAAGUUUGUAUUUCUGGUACAAAGUUGAUAUCUUGAGUUUUUGAUUCUCUUAUUGGCUUCAAAUCUGUUGAGAUCUGCAAAUUUCAAAAUUUAAGAUUUGCCUCUUUGUAAUGACACUAACUUAAUAUCCACAUCAGUCUUGAAAUUGAUGUGAGAUUGUUUUCAUAUCUGCAUCAUUCUAUUUGAUGUUGGAUUGUUGCUGGGUUUUUUCAAGAGGUUUUUGGUUCGUGAAUCAGUCUGUGGCGGUUAGUUCAUACAUUAUGCUGAAAAGUGAAUGCUCACACUAGACUAUUUUUUACUUUUUGGUUUCGCGCCCAUAAACGGGUUCGUCGGAUACUGUAUGUCGUGUGUGCUCUUUUACUUUAGUUAUUUUUAAAAAAACCACUUUGAUGUAUUUGAUUUAUUUGCAUACCCUUCCGUGAUGGUUUCGUGGUUUGACUAGGUUUGGUUUAUGUCUCUCAGGACUUUGUAAUUUUUUGAUUUCGGUUCGACUUUGGAACACAGAUACGUUUGAACAUCUUAAUCGGAUGUUGCACAGUUGGUUAGAGGGAGAAAUUGGAGAGGGUGAACGGAUUAGAAGAAUACAAUGGCUUGUGUCCACGUUCAACCAAAACGGAGAAGUGCACGAAUGGGUGGAUAUUAAGACCGACCAAGACGCUCGUAGGAUGAUGCAUUACAUGUUCAAAAUUGUUUUGAUGGUUGUAAUCGCAUAGUUUUUGUAUUCUAGUUGUUUUAAUUGUUUGUGUUAUUUUUUAAGAACAACUGUCUUUUCGUCACAGACGUCUACUAUGAAGUAAAUUUAGUUGUCCAUACAUUGCAACAAAGGUACUUUGAAAUAAAUUUAGUUUUCCAUAUAUAGCAAUAGAGGUACAUCUGAA